UUUUUCAAAACUGAGAUGAAGACAGUUUAAUAGGACAGAAAAUGAAGGAAAAUAAUAAUAUUGAUAAAGGACUAUACAAAACAAGUGCUGCACAUUGCGGUUAAUUGCUCACCACUGCCUGACUGGUGCCCAGCCAGUCCCUCAGCAGCGGGCCGCUGGCCGCCUCAGCCAGUUUUCUUGUUCGGCAGAACAGCAUAUGGUAUGAAAUAUCCCUUGGGUCAGUCGGGGUCAGUUGUCUCGGCUGUGUCCCCUCCCAACUUCUUGUGCACCCCCAGCCUGCUCGCUGAUGCUGUCGUGUGAGAAGCUGAAAAUUCCUUGAUCAGGGUAAGUAAGCCCUGCUCAGCAACAACUAAAACAUCUGUGUGUUGUCAACCUUAUUCUCAUCCUAAAUCCAAACACAGCACUAUGCCAGCUGCUAGGAAGAAAACUAACUCUGUCCCAGCUGAAACCAGGACACUACUUCAUAAAAAUGUAAGACCACCUGUAGUGAAACAGUAACACCCAGAUUGGUGGAGACAUGAGAAAGGAUAUACAUCCAUGAAAGCAGUUUAUGAGGCCUUACUUUGCUUUAUGAUGUGUUAGCAAGACUAGUCAGUCAUAUGUUUGCAUUUUAGACACAGUAAACAGGAAAAUUUUGAAGUGUUGAGACUAAGGUGGUUCUGGCUAACUAGAUUUUCAUUCAGUCCACUUCCAGUAUCUGCAGUCUUUUUUCUCUUCCAUUUUUAACUAAGGGUAAUGAGAUGCAGGCUGUGUUGUUCUUAGGGAACUCCACAUGUAUGUCCUAAUUGAAUCAAAGAAAUUGGCAAUAAUAAUAAAAAUAUUAUAUCUGUAUUAUAUUGGCUCAGCAAAAUCCUCUGUAAUUGUGGUUAAUGAGUUUUUGCUGUAAUAUUUGUGCAAUUCUAUUAAGAUAUAAUACUUUGGUUUUUGUACAAGAAAUCUAAAAAUUGGGUCAAGAGAAAGGGGUUCUAACAGAUAAUUAUUUGUCCAAUUAGCAGCAUAUAGAAAGCUAGCCUCAAUAGCAGGGGGAGUAUAUAUUUUGCUUAUCAUUGAGAAAUACUACUCAGAGUUUAGUCUUAUAAUAAAGUACCAUUGAGUCAUGUGUAAGUAAGAACAGGAAAUAUGAAAAGGCAAUAUUUGCUGAAGUACUUAAAAUUCAGCUGUUAAAACAGGAAUUUUAACUUAUAAUUUCUUAAUAAUAUUUUAGAGUUAAGUAGUGUUUUGGACUUACAGGUGUUUAAAUUUCCUAAGUGUGGUUAAUUUAUAAUGAUAGGUCUGGUUAAGAAGUGAAUUCCACUAUGCUUACACAAUCUUUUAAAGCCUUUAAGCUAUAAUGGAAUUUUUCACACAAAACGUUUGCAACAGAAGACACUGAAAACAUCUGUCUGCGUGAAAGUGUUGUUCUUUGUCUGGUAAAAUUAUAACUUGAUGUACAUCUGAUCCUUUAGUCAUUCUGCAGACAAAUGCCCCAUUGACCUGAACAGUACAUGACUAAGCCUUGUGCCAGAACUGUAAAGAGAAUGAGAUAUGGCAUAUUCUACAGACCUGAGUCAUCAUUUUGCUCAUUAUUGUCAUAGAGCUAAAUACAGAAUCUUCUCUAGAGCCCUUGGUUCAAAUAAUAUUAAAUACCACAUGGCACACACAACUACAGGAAGUUUAUUCAACUGUAUAGAAAUAAAUGUGGCCAUAGCUACCACACAUUCAAUUACAUUGAAUAAUUAUUCUAAUUCAUUGAAGCUCUUGGGUUAGUCGAAGGAUCUAAGUUUUCUUCC
Long non-coding RNA from Strigops habroptila (Kakapo), 1769 nucleotides. The record is from Ensembl. NCBI's taxonomy places the organism in Eukaryota, Metazoa, Chordata, Aves, Psittaciformes, Psittacidae.